Molecule: ribosomal RNA, 441 nt
Filed under: uncultured bacterium
Lineage: Bacteria
Description: partial 16S ribosomal RNA
Rfam family: Bacterial small subunit ribosomal RNA
Source: RNAcentral
CCUACGGGAGGCUGCAGUGGGGAAUAUUGCACAAUGGGGGAAACCCUGAUGCAGCGACGCCGCGUGAGUGAAGAAGUAUUUCGGUAUGUAAAGCUCUAUCAGCAGGGAAGAAGCAAGACGGUACCUGACUAAGAAGACCCGGCUAACUACGCGCCCGCAGCCGCGGUAAUACGGGGGGGGCAAGCGUUUUCCGGAAGCAUUGGGCGUAAAACGUUCGUAGACGGUAUGUCAAGUCUGAUGUUAAAGCCCGGGGCUCAACUCCGGUUCGGCAUUGGAUACUGGCAAAGUAGAAUGUGGUAGAGGGAAAGGGAAUUCCUGGUGUAGCGGUGAAAUGCGUAGAUAUCAGGAGGAACAUCGGUGGCGAAAGCGCUUUACUGGACCAUUAUUGACGCUGAGGAACGAAAGCCAGGGGAGCAAAUGGGAUUAGAUACCCUAGUAGUC